Molecule: small RNA, 123 nt
Filed under: uncultured Blautia sp.
Lineage: Bacteria; Bacillati; Bacillota; Clostridia; Lachnospirales; Lachnospiraceae
Description: Ribosomal protein L10 leader
Rfam family: Ribosomal protein L10 leader
About the family: This family is a putative r-protein leader autoregulatory structure found in B. subtilis and other low-GC Gram-positive bacteria. It is located in the 5' untranslated regions of mRNAs encoding ribosomal proteins L10 and L12 (rplJ-rplL).
Source: RNAcentral
GAACGCUGCCGAAGACAGUAGGUGCCGUAAGGCAUAAGGAUCACAACGCCUACCGAGGACUUAGUAUUCUAUAUGAGAUUACAUGAGACCUUACUGUCGUUAUGCAGUAAGGCUUUUUUUAUG